Non-coding RNA from Pelobates cultripes (western spadefoot toad), 376 nucleotides. The record is from the annotation of a GenBank genome assembly. NCBI's taxonomy places the organism in Eukaryota, Metazoa, Chordata, Amphibia, Anura, Pelobatidae.
CUUGCAUUAAUGACAUGCAAAUAUUCUUUAAAUAUUCUUCAUACUCAUUGUAAUAUCACACAUCAUCUUAUAACACAGAACAUGAAUGUAGCAGAUAUCCAGCAGACAUGCCAAUACAAAAAUCAUAUUCAUGGACAGGCAAUUAACUCAAUCCAAAAUAAAUUAAUAAAUGUAAUGUAGGUUCCCAUGUUUGUGCAUUAUGCAUGUCUGCAAACUAUGCAAGCAGUACUACUUUAAGAUUAGAUCAGAGAACCUGCCAACUGGACAGGAUAGUUGAAUUUUGGCAAAAAGUCCAUUAUUGCAACAGAAUUUUGGAAAUCAGCUAAAACUUACAAAAACAGCCUCCCCCCUUUUUUUUCUUUCUUAAGACUACAAC